AGAUAUGGACCUCAAUAUUUGUUUAGCAGUUCAUAUGAAUUAAUUCAUAUUGCUUUUUCCAGGAUCUUUAACACUGUCGUAGUCACUGACCUUUCAUUCUUAACAUAUGCAGGUGACAGUUAUCAGCAAUCCAUCCACUCAAUCCAGGACAGUCCAGUCCAGGUUCUACAGGGAGACGGCGUGACUCUCUCCUGCAACUACUCCUCAGCAACAAACCUCUUCUGGUAUCGGCAGUACCCCAGCUCACCUCCCCAGUUCCUUAUCAAAGAUUACAUGGAGCUAUCUGGAUUUACCUUGAAAAAGGACAGUGAAAAACAAAAAAUGUUCCAUCUGGAGAUCUCCGCUGCUGAAGUGACAGACUCUGCUCUGACAGCUGAGUCUCUUGGUUCAGACAAAAGGUUUUCGACUGAACUGACUGAAGAGAAGACUGGAGUGGAUCUGAAGAUCUCCUCUGCUGCAGUGACAGACUCUGCUCUGUACUACUGUGCUCUGAGGCCCACAGUGACAGGAAACACAGACUCCCUGUACAAACACCUGCCGAGCGUAAAACACACUUCCCUCUCCCCCUGAAUCCAGUGCACAGACAUUACUAACUAACCCUAACUCAUCAGAACCUCAUAAUUUGCCCAUACUCUGAACAUCUUAAAAUUAUUCUGCAGGUCAGUAAUAUCAAGUAGGUGUCGAAGUAUUUCAUCAAUAUGUUUGAUGUUGGUGUCUUCAACAGCUGGUAUCAUGAAGAGAAUAAGUCCUUACUUGAGCUGAACACCAUACAGUUUCUCCUGUUGCUUUAAACUUGCUGUUGGGAAAAGCUCAUGUUACACACAUAUGACAUUUUAUCUAUCAUGUCCAUUAUGUGGAAUCUUUCCAGGGCUGAUAGCUUGGGACUCCAUCUCUCCUGAUAAACAGGAAGUCAGUGGAAAAGUGGGAGGAAGUGUAACACUCAGAUGCUGCUAUGAUACAGGUGAUG
This is a non-coding RNA of Gadus macrocephalus (Pacific cod), 967 nucleotides long. The record is from the annotation of a RefSeq genome assembly. Lineage: Eukaryota; Metazoa; Chordata; Actinopteri; Gadiformes; Gadidae.